Molecule: ribosomal RNA, 500 nt
Filed under: fungal sp. TZ-2013
Lineage: Eukaryota; Fungi
Description: eukaryotic LSU rRNA
Rfam family: 5.8S ribosomal RNA (bases 148-301)
Source: RNAcentral
UCGCGAACUCGUCCAAGUUGCUUCGGCGGCGCGGCACCCCUUAACGGGGGCGCCGCAGCCCUGCCUCUCCGGAGGUUCGGGGCGCCCGCCGGAGGUACGAAACUCUGUAUUAUAGUGGCAUCUCUGAGUAUAAAACAAAUAAGUUAAAACUUUCAACAACGGAUCUCUUGGUUCUGGCAUCGAUGAAGAACGCAGCGAAAUGCGAUAAGUAAUGUGAAUUGCAGAAUUCAGUGAAUCAUCGAAUCUUUGAACGCACAUUGCGCCCGGUAGUACUCUACCGGGCAUGCCUGUUCGAGCGUCAUUUCAACCCUCAAGCCCUGCUUGGUGUUGGGGCCCUACGGCUGCCGUAGGCCCUGAAAGGAAGUGGCGGGCUCGCUACAACUCCGAGCGUAGUAAUUCAUUAUCUCGCUAGGGAGGUUGCGGCGUGCUCCUGCCGUUAAAGACCCAUCUUUAACCAAGGUUGACCUCGGAUCAGGUAGGAAUACCCGCUGAACUUAAGC